GCCUGGCGCGGUGGCGCACGCCUGUCAUCCCAGCGGCUCGGGAGGCUGAGGCAGGAGGAUCGCAAGGUGGAGGCCAGCCUCAGCCACUUAGCGUGGCCCUGAGCAGUUCAGUGAGACCCUGUCUCUA
This 127-nucleotide small RNA is filed under the name Marmota monax (woodchuck). The record is from RNAcentral. Lineage: Eukaryota; Metazoa; Chordata; Mammalia; Rodentia; Sciuridae.